RNAcentral lists this ribosomal RNA (881 nucleotides) under uncultured bacterium. RNAcentral's name for it is "bacterial SSU rRNA". It matches the Rfam family "Bacterial small subunit ribosomal RNA", at positions 8 to 920 of the family's 1533-position model. The record is from RNAcentral.
AGAGUUUGAUCCUGGCUCAGGACGAACGCUGGCGGUAUGCUUAACACAUGCAAGUCGUACGAGAUUUUUAGGUAUUUAUAUUUAAAAAUUGUAGUGGCGGACGGGUGCGUAACGCGUAAGAACUUACCUUUGGGAGUGGGAUAACAGCGGGAAACUGCUGCUAAUACCGCAUAAUGCUGAGAAGCUAAAAAGUGAAAACUGCCGAAAGAGAGGCUUGCGUCUGAUUAGCUAGUUGGUGGGGGUAAUGGCCCCCCAAGGCGACGAUCAGUAGCUGGUUUGAGAGGAUGAUCAGCCACACUGGGACUGAGACACGGCCCAGACUCCUACGGGAGGCAGCAGUGAGGAAUUUUCCACAAUGCCCGAAAGGGUGAUGGAGCAAUACCGCGUGAGUGAUGACGGUUCGUGGAUCGUAAAACUCUUUUCUUGGGGAAGAAGUACUGACGGUACCCAAGGAAUAAGCACCGGCUAACUCUGUGCCAGCAGCCGCGGUAAUACAGGGGGUGCAAGCGUUGUCCGGAAUGAUUGGGCGUAAAGCGUUCGUAGGUGGUUUUUAAAGUCUUCUGUUAAAUCCCAAAGCUCAACUUUGGACAGGCAGUAGAGUACUUAAAGACUCGAGAACGGUAGAAGUAGAGGGAAUUCCCCGUGGAGCGGUGAAAUGCAUAGAUACGGGGAGGAACACCAGAGGCGAAAGCGCUCUACUAGGCCGUGUCUGACACUGAGGGACGACAGCUAGAGGAGUGAAUAGGAUUAGAUACCCUAGUAAUUCUAGCCGUAAACGAUGAACACUAAGUAUCGGUAAACCGGUGCUGUAGCUUACGCAUUAAGUGUUCCGCCUGGGGAGUAUGCUCGCAAGAGUGAAACUCAAAGGAAUUGACGGGAAU